UGGCGCCCCUGUGGAGUUGUCUUUUCCAUCUGACAGCUGGAGUGUGUGGGCUAUCCACUGACAUGCUGCAUGGCGACAUAGCUCUCUGCUUGGCAAGAUGGUGCUGCAUUGGUACCAUUGGACUUACGCGUGCCCUGCUCUGAGGGUUUGGCCUCGGCCGACCCGGAAUGCGCCAUGCCUUUGGUGGCCACCGACUCCAUGGAACGCCCUGCAAAGUUGUGCAACAAAGCGUGAACCCUUGGUGACCAAACCGGGACAAGCCCCCAUCUGGGGGCUCUGAUCCGAUUGGAAUGGCUCCGUACCGAAUCACCGCAGCUGGUCUCUUCGGCUAGACGCCGCUGGUCAACAGUGCAAAUGCAGCUAAGGGAAAUCGGCAAACUGGUUGUGUACCUUCGGAAGAUGCGGUGGCUCCAAGGGCCAGGGUGUCAGGCCUGCCCGUCGGGAUUGCACGGAACCCUCCGGGGCUUGGUUGUCCUGUGCCAGGGCUGGCUUCCCAGCCGUCCUCUGGCCGUGGGCGUCCAGGCCCCACCGUUUUCCCGUGGGCGGGGAUUCCGUGGCACCCACGUGUGGUCUACUCGGAACUGUGUACUACGCAGGGGAAUCUGACUGUUUAAUUGAAACAUAGCUUUGCGAUGGGACCUGCUGGCUGGUUCCGCGAGGUGACUUCUGCCCAGUGCUCUGAUUGUCAAUGCAAAGAGAUUUAGCCAAGCGCGGGUAAACGGCGGGAGUAACUAUGACU
RNAcentral lists this ribosomal RNA (739 nucleotides) under Eutreptiella gymnastica. RNAcentral describes it as "partial Eukaryotic large subunit ribosomal RNA". It matches the Rfam family "Eukaryotic large subunit ribosomal RNA", at positions 1672 to 2270 of the family's 3401-position model. Lineage: Eukaryota; Euglenozoa; Euglenophyceae; Eutreptiales; Eutreptiaceae. The record is from RNAcentral.